UCCAGACACUAGGCAGCGGUAAACCAAAAAUCAGGCCCUAAUAAGGCCCAACUAACUACAAUACACAUAACAACAUACUAAGCAAGUUUUUAAGAAUCAUAAUACAUGAAUAACCGUAUUAUGGAUUUUAAAAUUUAUUUUACCAUUCAUGCUAACCAUAAAAUCUUAGAUUAUAAAACUACUUUCUAGCCUUAACAAUAAUUCCACUAAACAUGAUACUAACCACCACAAGAGGUCAAUUCUGAAAUUCACUCAAAGAUUCCCUCUAUAUUUAUGAUCAUGCUUAACAAUUCAAUACAUGGAUUUACAUCCGAGUACCCUUUGAAUAACAGUCCCAAUUAAUUAUAACUAAUAAGUGUAACAACUUUUUGAACACUCAUGAAUAAGCUAAAACAACUAAAAUGUUUAAAUCACCCAACUAUACUAAGUCUAGCAUCGGCAGUAAUAUAAUCAAGCUGAAGCAGUUUAAUGAACACUAGAAAAGAUGCAUAAGAAUCCCAUUCCAUAUCAGUAAUUUACAAGUCUAUUCUAUCACUUCAAGAUCAUGAAUAUACCUGGAACACCAAGAGAAAACCAACAGAAACUUCAGCAAAGAAAUCAAAAUAUCACUAGCUCCUUAGGAAGUAGUACACAAACAGUUAUCAGCCUUCUACCACCAUGUCUUGAACCAAGAAUGAGAACGGCAAUUUACUCAAACUUUUAAGACCCAAAAAAUCAAAAGAACAACUUCAAUGUAACAAUAUUUAGAUGAUUUAUUUUUGUAUUAUUCUUCUAAUUUUCGGACAUAUACCAGUGUAUAGUUUUAGUUAUUUCUAGCUCUAGGUAUUCUGAUCUAUGCCCUCAAAAUCAAAGAAAUGAGACCUUUAUAAAGAAGUUUUAGGACAGCAAAAUCUAAUUCUUAUCUUCACCAUUUACCCCUUCCCCAAUUUUUACUUUUUCACUUUAGACCCUGUAUUUUGAAUCUUCUUGUUAAAACCAACCUAUUUCCUACUUUCCUAGCAGCUUCCUAGGCAGUUAUAAAAGAUUCUUUCAGUGAAAAUACCCUAAAUACCCUUCAAAUGUCUGUUAUUUACAUUUAGAAAAACCACUAAUUGGGCUAGACCCCAGCAUGCUUGAACCCUUCCCCCUCAGAAGCCCAACUUCUGGUCCAAAAAUCACAACACAAAAACAAACAAACCAACGGAGUUUUGAAACUCCUAGCCUCAAAAUUCUAAAGAAGCAAAACAAAAGGAGAAUGGAGCAACAAGAAAUAAUGAACUCAAAGUACUAAAAAGAAACUGUAAACUACAUUAUUAGGCUAAUAUCCUUAUAAAUUAAUAUGACUUAAAUCAACCAUGCAAAUAGAAAUCAAUUUGAACUAAUAAAGAAGAAGAAAGAAACAAAAAUAAGAAAAAAGAAGAAACAAAAAUAGUAACUAAUUAACAAGGAGGAGAAAAGAAUAAGAAUAGACUGACUGACCAAACGGAAGCAAUAGCCAAAAUCGCACAUGAAUGAUAUGGCCACUAAAAUUGCUUAUGCCUGAAACUCAAUCUAACGAGCACCAUUUGUCAAGAUUACUUUGCCAAAGAAAGUUUUAGGCUUGGUGAGCAGAAACCUUCAUUACAAACCCAGCCCCGGAAUUAGGUUAAACUCUAUAUUGCAAAUUCGACAAACUCUAGGAUUCGUUUGGGAAAAUUGCCAAGAGUUUCGGGUUUUGGGGAAGGCUGGGGACUGUAGGAUGUUAAUUUGGGUGGGUUUGGGUAAAUUAGGGUUUUGGGAUCCAAUUUUGGAUCUGAAAUUCGGGCAACUUGGUGAUGGUUUGAAGGAAAGGUUUUGGGGGUGGCAGGCUCUAUGCUUUCUUGCUAUUUGAGUUGAAUAUAGGAGGUAGGGAUUGGACUUCCUACAUUUAAAUACAAGUGAAAGACCCAGUUCUCAACCGUUCGAUGAGUGGAAGUCAAUGACUUGGAUAAAAAGUCACAAAACGACGUCGUUUGGUUAGGAUUGGGGACUAAACGGGGUACUUAG
RNAcentral lists this long non-coding RNA (2004 nucleotides) under Nicotiana benthamiana. RNAcentral describes it as "long non-coding RNA (NBEN_LNC022566)". Lineage: Eukaryota; Viridiplantae; Streptophyta; Magnoliopsida; Solanales; Solanaceae. The record is from RNAcentral.